CUGCGCCACGAGUAGGAGCCAUAAUUAUUGGGUUUAAAGCGUCCGUAGCCGGUUUGAUAAAUCCUUUGUGAAAUGGUACGGCUUAACCGUACCACGUGCAGGGGACACUAUCAAACUUGGGACCCGGAGGAGCAUGAGGUAUUUCAAGGGGAGCGGUAAAAUGUUAUAAUCCUUGGAGGACCAUCGGUGGCGAAAGCGUCAUGCUAGAACGGAUCCGACGGUGAGGGACGAAAGCCAGGGGAGCAAACAGGAUUAGAUACCCGCGUAGUCC
This 271-nucleotide ribosomal RNA is filed under the name uncultured archaeon. Its description in RNAcentral is "partial 16S ribosomal RNA". It matches the Rfam family "Archaeal small subunit ribosomal RNA", at positions 477 to 747 of the family's 1478-position model. The record is from RNAcentral.